GCCAGGUGUGGUGGCACACGCCUGUAAUCCCAGAGGCAUGGGAGGCUGAGACAGGAGGAUCAUGAAUUUAAAGCCAGCUUCAGCAAAAGCGAGGCACUGUCUCUAAAGUGAAACCCUAUCUCUA
RNAcentral lists this small RNA (124 nucleotides) under Marmota monax (woodchuck). The record is from RNAcentral. Lineage: Eukaryota; Metazoa; Chordata; Mammalia; Rodentia; Sciuridae.